GAUGAACGCUAGCGGCAGGCCUAAUACAUGCAAGUCGAGGGGUAGAGGAGAGCUUGCUUUCCUUGAGACCGGCGCACGGGUGCGUAACGCGUAUGCAACCUACCUUUAUCAGGGGGAUAGCCCGAAGAAAUUCGGAUUAACACCGCAUAAAAUCACAGUAUCGCAUGGUACAAUGAUCAAAUAUUUAUAGGAUAAAGAUGGGCAUGCGUGUCAUUAGUUAGUUGGCGGGUAACGGCCCACCAAGACCACGAUGACUAGGGGAUCUGAGAGGAUGACCCCCCACACUGGUACUGAGACACGGACCAGACUCCUACGGGAGGCAGCAGUAAGGAAUAUUGGUCAAUGGAGGCAACUCUGAACCAGCCAUGCCGCGUGCAGGAAGACGGCCCUCUGGGUUGUAAACUGCUUUUAUUCGGGAAUAAACCUACUUACGUGUAAGUAGCUGAAUGUACCGAAGGAAUAAGGAUCGGCUAACUCCGUG
RNAcentral lists this ribosomal RNA (481 nucleotides) under uncultured bacterium. RNAcentral describes it as "bacterial SSU rRNA". It matches the Rfam family "Bacterial small subunit ribosomal RNA", at positions 28 to 507 of the family's 1533-position model. The record is from RNAcentral.